This is a small nuclear RNA of Rhipicephalus microplus (southern cattle tick), 183 nucleotides long. RefSeq annotates it as U2 spliceosomal RNA. NCBI's taxonomy places the organism in Eukaryota, Metazoa, Arthropoda, Arachnida, Ixodida, Ixodidae. The record is from RefSeq and is a predicted model, not a curated record.
UUUUAUUCUGGCUGUGUAAUAAGUGAGAUUUAAUAUGUACUUAUCAGCCUAAUAUCUGAUAGAGAUCCUAUUUGGAUCCAAGAUAAACAGAUUUUUGUAAUGAGGUUGAAUGCUUGAAGCUUGCUUCACCUACGCCAAGGGUUGGCCCAGUAUUGCACUUGAGGCUGACUCAGUUUCUCACUU